AGACACGUGCAGGAGAUUUUGAACA
RNAcentral lists this non-coding RNA (25 nucleotides) under Cricetulus griseus (Chinese hamster). The record is from RNAcentral. Lineage: Eukaryota; Metazoa; Chordata; Mammalia; Rodentia; Cricetidae.